GACCCGUCUUGAAACACGGACCAAGGAGUUUAAGGUGUACGCGAGUCAUUGAGCUGCGAAACUCAAAGGCGUAAUGAAAGUGAGACAUUGGAUGUCGACGAUGUGAGCGUUGGGCGUUUCGACGUCCGGCGCGCAACAUCGCCCCGUGACUAGGACUUGUUCUGUUGCGGAGGUUGAGCGUACGCUUUGAGACCCGAAAGAUGGUGAACUAUGCCCGAACAGGAUGAAGCCAGAGGAAACUCUGGUGGAAGUCCGAAGCGGUUCUGACGUGCAAAUCGAUCGUCUGAUUUGGGUAUAGGGGCGCAAGACUAAUCGAACCAUCUAGUAGCUGGUUCCUUCCGA
Molecule: ribosomal RNA, 342 nt
Filed under: Aphelenchoides besseyi
Lineage: Eukaryota; Metazoa; Nematoda; Chromadorea; Rhabditida; Aphelenchoididae
Description: eukaryotic LSU rRNA
Rfam family: Eukaryotic large subunit ribosomal RNA
Source: RNAcentral